CUACGGGCGGCUGCAGUGGGGAAUAUUGCACAAUGGACGAAAGUCUGAUGCAGCAACGCCGCGUGGAGGAUGACACAUUUCGGUGCGUAAACUCCUUUUAUAUAAGAAGAUAAUGACGGUAUUAUAUGAAUAAGCACCGGCUAACUCCGUGCCAGCAGCCGCGGUAAUACGGGGGGUGCAAGCGUUACUCGGAAUCACUGGGCGUAAAGCGCAUGUAGGCGGACUUGUAAGUUGGAAGUGAAAUCCUAUGGCUCAACCAUAGAACUGCUUCCAAAACUGCUUGUCUAGAAUAUGGGAGAGGUAGAUGGAAUUUCUGGUGUAGGGGUAAAAUCCGUAGAGAUCAGAAGGAAUACCGAUUGCGAAGGCGAUCUACUGGAACAUUAUUGACGCUCAGAUGCGAAAGCGUGGGGAGCAAACAGGAUUAGAUACCCUGGUAGUC
RNAcentral lists this ribosomal RNA (439 nucleotides) under uncultured bacterium. Its description in RNAcentral is "partial 16S ribosomal RNA". It matches the Rfam family "Bacterial small subunit ribosomal RNA", at positions 339 to 795 of the family's 1533-position model. The record is from RNAcentral.